RNAcentral lists this ribosomal RNA (258 nucleotides) under uncultured bacterium. Its description in RNAcentral is "partial 16S ribosomal RNA". It matches the Rfam family "Bacterial small subunit ribosomal RNA", at positions 793 to 1050 of the family's 1533-position model. The record is from RNAcentral.
GUCCACACCGUAAACGCUGUCUACUAGCUGUUUGUGUAUUUAAUACGUGAGUAGCGAAGCUAACGCGCUAAGUAGACCGCCUGGGGAGUACGGCCGCAAGGUUAAAACUCAAAUGAAUUGACGGGGGCCCGCACAAGCGGUGGAGCAUGUGGUUUAAUUCGAUGCAACGCGAAGAACCUUACCAGGACUUGACAUCCAGAGAAGUUACCAGAGAUGGUUUCGUGCCUUCGGGAACUCUGAGACAGGUGCUGCAUGGCU